AUUGAACGCUGGCGGCAUGCCUUACACAUGCAAGUCGAACGGUAACAGGUCUUCGGAUGCUGACGAGUGGCGAACGGGUGAGUAAUACAUCGGAACGUGCCUAGUAGUGGGGGAUAACUACUCGAAAGAGUGGCUAAUACCGCAUGAGAUCUACGGAUGAAAGCAGGGGAUCGCAAGACCUUGUGCUACUAGAGCGGCCGAUGGCAGAUUAGGUAGUUGGUGGGAUAAAAGCUUACCAAGCCGACGAUCUGUAGCUGGUCUGAGAGGACGAUCAGCCACACUGGGACUGAUACACGGCCCAGACUCCUAGGGGAGGCAGCAGUGGGGAAUUUUGGACAAUGGGCGAAAGCCUGAUCCAGCAAUGCCGCGUGCAGGAUGAAGGCCUUCGGGUUGUAAACUGCUUUUGUACGGAACGAAAAGCCCCGGGUUAAUACCCUGGGGUCAUGACGGUACCGUAAGAAUAAGCACCGGCUAACUACGUGCCAGCCGCCGCGGUAA
RNAcentral lists this ribosomal RNA (498 nucleotides) under uncultured bacterium. Its description in RNAcentral is "partial 16S ribosomal RNA". It matches the Rfam family "Bacterial small subunit ribosomal RNA", at positions 30 to 523 of the family's 1533-position model. The record is from RNAcentral.